AGCGAGUGGUCACAGACUGACCUGCAGCCGCUGGACGUGCUCGCCCUGUUGCGGGACCCUGUCUGCUGACAGACGACUGGCCUCAAGGCCAAGAUUUAAAUCAGUGUCUUCCUCUCUCUCAUGCUACUAUGAUCGCUAUGGCAUUCUGCAGGCCUGAAAGGAUUUUCUUUUUCUUACUUUCCAUUUCUUACUUUUCAGAAAAUGCAAAUUGUUGCUGUUUUGAGCACAACAGGGACACUAUGUGAACUGCAGCUCUCUCAAUAAGGGAUAUUGUGUGUCUGUGGUAAAGGGAAAACCACCUUCCAGCAUCUUCCCCAGUGGCAGUCCUACAUCUUGUCCUUAGAGACCUGCUCUCUCUAGCUACUAGUUUGUCCUGAUUUUGAUAACCAUCCGCCUCUUGUUUUCUGCAGGUUAUCCAAGGUUACGAAGCAGGAGGACUUAUCCGAAGUACUGGUAGCAUCAAAGACACACGCGUUAUCUGAGGUGAGCUGUAAACCCUCCUCUCUGCCUGUCUAUCCCAGGCAGGAGAGCAGGAACUGCGGGAGAGUGUUCCUGGAAGGCAUAGCCUGUAAGUGGGGUUUUUCUGCACCAUUUGUGCUGUGCCUCUCUCUUGCUUGGGUUGAUGCUGACAUCUGGAGGCUGUGCUGUGACAGUGUGUGUGCACAGUUAUUUCUACGUGGCUUUCUGCUCACCCUCAUGGUUGCAUUUUGUAAGAAGCACCUUUUGGCUAUCGUGCUGUGCCAGGGUGAUUUGACCCUGGGGCAUGCCUAAUUGUCUGGAUAUAUUUGCUGAAAUCCUGUUACUGACUUGGGCAGCAUUUAGUAUGUUUGCUCUGGAUCCCUCUGUUAGUGACAUGGUCAGUAGACAUAAGCCCAAACUCGAACAGGGCAGGUCUGGACACAAGACAAGCCGUGAUCUAACCAAGUUUAAAAGUCACAGAAAACUGAAAUAGGCUUUCACAUGAUGGAAAAUGGAUUUAUUGUCUCAGCUGAUGGAUAUCUGGAGCAUCACUGAUGUUCAUAAGGGGGGAUCACCUGCAGUGCAGGCUGUCUUACCCUGCUGACCCCAAAAAUGAACUGCUAUCCAUAAUCCCAUAGGGAAGAGUGCUCUGAAUGUCCUUCUCUGUGCCACCUCUCCUGGCCAUGCUGUCACCAUAUAUGAUGGAUGGCCCUGGUGGUGGAGUGACAAUGUAACUCACUUCCCUGCUUUUUGGCAUCUACGAGGUAAGGAAGGGCUUUGGGGCUUUUAGCAUGAGGUUGCCAUUCUUGGCUUUUGCCCAUGAGACUUAUUAACUGAAAAAACUGUGUUGAAGUGAGGCUGUUUAUAUGGAAAUUUCCAGUCAUUCUUUUAAAUUCCCAGAAGUGUUGCUGUAUUGCACCCUGGCUGCUACAUGAAAGCCCUGCCCACUUUGGUAUGAUUUAUUACUAUUUAUUACUACAAAUACCAGUAUGCAAAUAGUCAUGCUCCAGAAAUGGCGCUUCCCCCUUAAGAUCUGCAUCCUAAGCAGAUGUGCUCUGCUUUAACCAGUCGGUUUGCCAAGGCAGGCUGACUGGGACGUGUCAUUUCCUAACCCUGGCCCUAUAAAUGAGCCACAUUUGAGCAAAAAGCCUGUGUAGCUUGUAUUCAGGCUUUUGCUCAGAGACCUACUGCAAGCAGGGAAUAGACUUUUAGAACUACUGCUGGGAAUUCGUCUUUUUGCUUUCCUCCUGGCAAUUUUUGGCUACAUGGCAUCACCAAAUUGUGCUGCCACUGCUGCUAUUACACUCAACUUUUAAGCACUUUGUAGACCUUGCUGCUAGUCCAUAUUUCUCUAGGAGCUGCCAAACCAUUUCUGGGACUGUAGCGAACUCUGCUGCAUCCAUUCUUCAUCCCAUCACCAACUUGAGGGCUGUAAGGAAGAAAGAAAUAAGGAAGGAAAGGAAAAAAAGGAAAAGAAAUCUAUUAAAAAAGAUUUAUGUAUGGGAAUUUUAUACUGGCAAUCGGGAAACUAAGUUCUGCAGAGAUGGGCAUUUAAUCUAUAAUUGAUUUGUAUCUACUUUUGGGUAAUAUACAUGCCCUGACCCUGUAUUUUUGCUACAACAGACUUGCACAAUAGAGAUGCUGAAUAGCUUCUGCAUGUUUUGUGAAGAGGCAGAUGGCUUGAAUAGAGAGAAUUGUUGUCUAGCAAUUGGAAGGUGCUGAUACUGGGCUUCUUGCAUCUUCCUUGUUGUGAGCCAGUAUGUAUUACGUUUUGAGAUGAAUGUGUGGAUUUUUUUAGUUGAGAAUAGACAGAUCUCUGCUCACAUUUCAUCCUUGGUUUGUAAUAAAUUUCUAAAGGCAUUUUGAAUUUAAGACCGU
RNAcentral lists this long non-coding RNA (2337 nucleotides) under Calidris pugnax (ruff). RNAcentral describes it as "lncRNA (ENSCPUG00000001772.1)". Lineage: Eukaryota; Metazoa; Chordata; Aves; Charadriiformes; Scolopacidae. The record is from RNAcentral.